Molecule: ribosomal RNA, 357 nt
Filed under: Buthus occitanus mardochei (Moroccan scorpion)
Lineage: Eukaryota; Metazoa; Arthropoda; Arachnida; Scorpiones; Buthidae
Description: partial 16S ribosomal RNA
Source: RNAcentral
UCCUUCUAAAACUUUUGCGCAAGAAAGGAUUUUUAAUUCAACAUCGAGGUCAUAAUCUUACUUGUCAAUUAGAUCUUUCUAAGUAAAUUAAGCUGUUAUCCCUAAAGUAACUUAUUUCUCUUUUAAAAAUUCUAGAUAUUUAAACAAGUCUGUUUUACCUUUUAGGAAAAGAUCUUUUCCCUACCGCCCCAGUAAAAUACUUUUCCACUUUAUAAGGGGGGAAAAGUAUAAAGUUUUAUAGGGUCUUCUUGUCUAAAAGAAAGAUUUUAGCCUUCUUACUAAAAAGUAAAAUUCAUUUUCUUAGAUAAAAAAAAAUUCUCCCGGUUUACUCUUUCAUUCCAGUCUCAAAUUAAAAGA